CACGCCGUAAACGAUGGAUACUAGCUGUUGGAGGUAUCGACCCCUCCAGUAGCGAAGCUAACGCGUUAAGUAUCCCGCCUGUGGAGUACGGCCGCAAGGCUAAAACAUAAAGGAAUUGACGGGGAGCCGCACAAGCGGUGGAUUAUGUUCUUUAAUUCGAUGAUAACCGAUGAACCUUACCAGGGUUUGACAUCCAGGGAAUUCUUGUGAAAGCAGGAAGUGCCUUUUGGAACCCUGUGACAGGUGA
This 247-nucleotide ribosomal RNA is filed under the name uncultured bacterium. Its description in RNAcentral is "partial 16S ribosomal RNA". It matches the Rfam family "Bacterial small subunit ribosomal RNA", at positions 796 to 1041 of the family's 1533-position model. The record is from RNAcentral.